Molecule: ribosomal RNA, 307 nt
Filed under: Pheidole moerens
Lineage: Eukaryota; Metazoa; Arthropoda; Insecta; Hymenoptera; Formicidae
Description: partial 12S ribosomal RNA
Source: RNAcentral
AAUUAAUGUGUUCAUUNAAUUUAAAUAAUUUGGCGGUAUUUUANAUNGUUAGAGGAAUUUGUGNAUUAUAUGUAUNUCCACGAAUGGAAUGUCCUAUUAUAUAUUUUAUGUAUUGUUGUAUAAAAAUUAUUUUAUAAAAAUUAUAAUUAAUUUAUUUAAUAUAAUUUCAAUUCAAAUCAAAAUGUAGAAUUUUUAGGUUUCAAUGAAUCACAAUUUAAUUUAAUAUUAGAGUUAUGCUUUUAAUUANNAUANUAAAAUAGGAUUUAAAAGUAAANUUNAAAAAAUANUUAGANUGAAAUAUAAUAAA